RNAcentral lists this long non-coding RNA (1400 nucleotides) under Podarcis muralis (Common wall lizard). RNAcentral describes it as "lncRNA (ENSPMRG00000004824.1)". Lineage: Eukaryota; Metazoa; Chordata; Lepidosauria; Squamata; Lacertidae. The record is from RNAcentral.
UGUAGGGAUUGCAGGGGGGUGCAGCAUCCGGAGGUGCCACCAUGGUUUGGCUACUGGAUGGUGUCUGUAAUUUAUCUGUGGAGAGGGUUUGGGUUUGGGUCUGGUGUGGUUGAUUGGUGAUGGCGUUCUGUGUGCCUCUGGAUCUGGUGUCGGUUUUUGUGGGGAGGGCUAAUUUCCAGAUGUCUGGCAGGCGGGACGUGUCGUCACGUUUGUUCAUGUUGUGAGGGUGUUUCUCUAUCUCGAUGGCUUCCAUGAUUAUUCUCUUGUGGUGAUGUUCCAUGUUAAAGAGCAAUUUGGAAUCUGCAAAAUUAAUUUCGUGUCCUGUUUCUUUCAUGUGUUGGAAAAGAGAGGAAGUUUUUUCUUCUUUUUUGACGGCAUUCUUGUGUUCUCAACAGCCUACACCCCAAAAUACAAUUCACUAUGGAAAUAGAAGCCAAUAACCAACUUCCCUUCCUUGACGUCCUAAUCUACAAAAAACCUGAUGGCUCCCUAGGACACACUGUCUACCGGAAAAAAACACACACCAACCGCUACUUACAUGCACAAUCACACCACCACCCUGCACAAAUAAACUCCGUAGCCAAGACUCUCAUCUCCAGAACCAAACGCCUGGCUGACAAAGACCACUUGACAACUGAGUUACAGAAUCUCUCAAAUGUGUUAAUCGCCAAUGGAUACCAGCAAAACAGGGUUACGAAGCUAAUCCAAAAAGAAACACCCCCCAAAAACCAAGACACAGAAGAAAACAAUGGCAUGGCCCUCCUUCCUUAUAUCAAGGGCACUACAGAUAAAAUUAGCAAAAUCCUCCAUAAACACAAUAUCAAAACAGCCUUUUGCACCAAACAAAAAAUAGCCAAUAUCCUCAGAAACCCCAAAGAUAAAAUCCAGUUGGAAAACCAAGGGGUCUAUGAAAUACCCUGCAAAGCCUGCCCAGCCACGUACAUUGGACAAACAAACAGACGAAUAAAUGCACGUAUCGCAGAACACAAGAAUGCCGUCAAAAAAGAAGAAAAAACUUCCUCUCUUUUCCAACACAUGAAAGAAACAGGACACGAAAUUAAUUUUGCAGAUUCCAAAUUGCUCUUUAACAUGGAACAUCACCACAAGAGAAUAAUCAUGGAAGCCAUCGAGAUAGAGAAACACCCUCACAACAUGAACAAACGUGACGACACGUCCCGCCUGCCAGACAUCUGGAAAUUAGCCCUCCCCACAAAAACCGACACCAGAUCCAGAGGCACACAGAACGCCAUCACCAAUCAACCACACCAGACCCAAACCCAAACCCUCUCCACAGAUAAAUUACAGACACCAUCCAGUAGCCAAACCAUGGUGGCACCUCCGGAUGCUGCACCCCCCUGCAAUCCCUACACAGAUCUGGCUGGCACAGGGCACAAAACCAC